Molecule: non-coding RNA, 76 nt
Filed under: chicken gut metagenome
Description: S10-Clostridia ribosomal protein leader
Rfam family: S10-Clostridia ribosomal protein leader
Source: RNAcentral
GCGAUGAAGCGGGAGGUUGCGGCCUUUUCCGGCCGGUUUUUCCGCUGAGUAUGUCCGAUUUUAAACCGGGCGACAA